UACGAAGGUCCCAAGCGUUAUCCGGAUUUAUUGGGUUUAAAGGGUGCGUAGGCGGGCUAUUAAGUCAGUGGUGAAAGCCCCCAGCCUAACUGGGGAACUGCCAUUGAUACUGAUGGUCUUGAGUACAUUUGAGGUGGGCGGAAUGUGUCAUGUAGCGGUGAAAUGCUUAGAUAUGACACAGAACACCGAUUGCGAAGGCAGCUCACUAAACUGUAACUGACGCUGAGGCACGAAAGCGUGGGGAGCAAACAGG
Molecule: ribosomal RNA, 253 nt
Filed under: uncultured bacterium
Lineage: Bacteria
Description: partial 16S ribosomal RNA
Rfam family: Bacterial small subunit ribosomal RNA
Source: RNAcentral